This is an RNA transcript of Sitodiplosis mosellana (orange wheat blossom midge), 4349 nucleotides long. RefSeq lists it as uncharacterized. The record is from RefSeq and is a predicted model, not a curated record. NCBI's taxonomy places the organism in Eukaryota, Metazoa, Arthropoda, Insecta, Diptera, Cecidomyiidae. The transcript has 5 exons.
GUCGAACACUAUACGGAACGACGAUUUUUCCAUAAUGACUAUAAAGUGAAAAAAAAAAGAACAGAGAAAAAAGGAACAAGCCAAAAAAAACGCACCAAAAUUCGAAAUCAAAACGUAUAGACGAAUCUUUUUAACGCGCAAGAACGAUUCAUUGACAAAUCAAAUUCCGUUUUCUUUUCGAUGGCGGUCAACACUGUUAGAUAGAAUCAAAAACAUGGGAUUAUUCGACCUUUUUUUAAAUUGUGAUGAUAAUAAAUUCCAUUUUCGUACGAGUGGUAGUGCAGUUUCCAAUGCAAUCUGGUGCAAAAACGUAAUAUCUGGACAAAAUUGGUUGAGUGUAUGAGUGUAUCAUUUUUGGCAUUGGCUUUGUUGAAAUUAUUCAAUGUUUAUUGAGCACUUCUGCGAAUGAAGGAAAAAAAAUUUUCUUGAAUCAAUUUGUUUUGUUAAGUUCUUCUUCGUCGCUUUAGAAUUUCAAUAUUAAUGGAUGAUUGUCGAUCACGAUUUGCUAUACAAACAACCAACAAUCGUAUACAAUAUUUUCAUAUCACAUACAAAAUGUAGAUUCAUUUUAGUUCGUUUCCGUUUUUUGGACACUGAUUAAAUGUGUGUAAUACUGACCAUAAACAACAGUUUAUAACUCUUGAACUUAUCAAACAAUAACAAUAUUCAAGAAGGGACUAGAAACGUGAAGAACAGCUCAAACUACAUUUAUCUACAUAAUAUCACAACAGUUGACUACAUAAUAUGUGCGAUACAUAACACACGCUGGCGACUACUGCGAUUACUUAGCACAGCUCUUCUCGGUGUGAUAUUUUUUUCACCGUUGAAUACAAAUGAUCUCUACAAAAUAUGUAAACGAUUAUGCGCAGCUUCGCUCAGAAGUCACUUCGCUCACUUGCUCCGUAAUCUUUUCAUUAGUUUUACAACGUGUGUGCCAAUAGACGCACAUAUUGUUUUCGUUUCGAUUGUCUGUAAAUAUUUCGGUCUUAUCGGUGUGGAAAUAGAUUGUAAUAAAUGUGCAAUCACAUAAGAUGGUGGCGCUAAGGCGAUUGAUCGUUGUUGCAGUGGUAGCAUUGCAUCUACAACCAACAUUGGAAGAUACACCCGCUAGACAAAUCUAUAACAAUGUUAUGCUGGCAAGUCUUCGACACACAGACGAUUACAAACCAUCCUUUGUAUCUUACCGGCCAUCGUUUAAAUCAUCCAAUAGAUCAUCCUAUAGAUCGUCUAAUAAACAGUCUUCCAGGGCCAAUCAUAGAAAUACGCACAAGUACAGUUCACAUGUGCCAAAUCCGUUUUGGUAGUUUCAGAUUCACAAGGGCGUCGAUACAACCAAAGAAAAAGUGGCGAAAGCAACCGAUUAUUGGAAUGCCAUGGGUAGCUCGAGAUGGGAUUCACAUAUGCCAUUUCCAUAUUAUCAUUUCGUUGCAUGAAGUGGGCAAAGCUUUAGAAGACUAUUGGCGGGGAUUGGGCAAUGAUAAAUGGAGAUAAUGGGAGCGAGUUCAAUAAAUUCAUACGCAAAAAAGUGAAUGAGAUUAUUCUUUCCAUUAACGAAGCGAAUGCGGGGGCAAAUGAAAAACACUGACUCAGUUUUAAAAUCACGUUCUCGAAACAAACAAGCACAUAUCACAUAGACUGGCUUCAAAAUAUCGAUUGUAAAACAAAGUUGGCUUUAUCUUCUCAUUUUGACGUAGUUGGUUCAUCAUUUUCUAUCUCAAUUCAACGAUUUUUCGCACUUUCUCAAAACGACUGAAAAAGCAUCGCACGUGUGACAAUUUCAAUUAUGUUGAUGAGAGAAGAUUAAGCUAGUUUUAUUUUCAAGCACUGGCAUCCAUUGAAGUCUGAGGAUGAAUGGGACAUUGCCUGGUUGCGAAAAUUCUGGUCACAUUUUGAGUUAAUCAGAUCAUUAUCAAAUGAAUAUUGCCCCAUAUUGCAAAAUAGCGUGACAUUUGUGUCAUUAGUCAACAAUAAUCUUGAAUCGAUAACUGUGUCACAAUUAUAUGAAUUCCAAAGGAAUUUCUGUUUCAAGAAUUUGCGUGUCAAAAAAUUUGCUUGCGCAAUAAAUCAAUAUAGUUCAACGUAAAUAAAUUGAAUUGAAAUAGUGAUCAUUUUGUCUGUGUGAAGUAGCGAUGAGGUUUUCAUUAGCUACAGUGUUUGUUCUCACAUUUGUGCCAUAUUCAUUGCAAUUGCCCGCCGUUUCAACAAAACCUACGAUUAAAUCUGCCACCAGACUAAUGACCAAACCAAUAAACAAAAGCUAUGAGUAAAUUUGCGAGUAAACCUAUUAUAAAACCACUUGACUUGAUAAAAUGUCUUUUGCACAUUCAAACUUAUACCCACUUCAAAUAAUCUUCUUUUUCAGUGCAUUCAAGCAUCGAAAUUUUUAUGAUCCAUAUGUGGAUUCAUAUUUGAAAGAGUACAAACUGCCGACUAAUGAUCCACAAUUUAUUGCUGCGAACUCUGAGCUAUAUGAUUAUAUAGCCAAACCACUUCCAACGAGUAGACCGAUGAGCCCAGAAUUUGAAGAAUGCGUUCAAGCCAUCGUAAAAUAUGGAAUCGAAUUAUUUAAUGCUCUUGUGUUCUGCAUAGCAGAGAGGGAAAUGCAAGGGAAAAUGUCACAAGAAAAACCAGAACCGACUAAAGUACCGAAGAAACGGGAUAGUCGUGGCCGUCAAGACCAUCGGGAGCAUCGAAAGCAUCGGGAGCAUCGGGAAGAUCGACAACGGACCACAUUAAAACAAUUUCGACAGCCGAUGCAUAGUGUAGACAAUCCUGAACGUGAAGAAAUCAGUUCAAUUUAUGACAGGGUUUAUCAGCUAACUAUUGGACUCUGUUGAAUACACCACGUUGAGAUUAUUACAAAGCUUUCAUGACACCUACAAUCACAUCAUACACUAUUCAAUUACAUUUUUAAUUGGAUAACACGCCGAUUACACUUCCACGCGAAGUUUUUUUUAUGAAUUAGUUCAUUGAAUACUUAACAUAGGUAGAUACUAAGAAUUUACUCCAAUUGAAAACAGUGCUAUAUUUCAACGAAUUUUGUUUGUACAUAGCCUUCAUCUCAAGAUCUUUGAGUGAAACAUUGAUGUUCAAUUUUGUUUUGUUACAUAAAAAAUAAAACCAAAACAUUGCACAGCAAACACAAUUUUGUUGUUUUCUUCAGAAUUGAAGCGUGUUCAGAUUUGGCCAAACCUAUCAGAUAAGCACAAGCACAAUCACAACCACCCGAUAAGAGUGGUUCAUUUAUCGAUUCAUUGGUAUCAGCUGAUAACUUUUUCAUUCAAUCGAAACUGUUUGAUAACACACCAACAUUACAAAGUAAACACAACCAAUGAUUGUGUUCGUUGACAGACACAAUGUAUGUUCUCGAAUGGAAUUGACUUGAAGUUGCCUCCUUUUUAUAUAUUUCAGACUCAAAAUGAAAUCGACAUCAAACAUUCGUUUGGCUUGAUAAGCUGGCAUUGGAGUUGAGCUUCGUGGAAUAAAAAAACAAAAAUAACAGAAACAAAUCAGAAAUAAAUUUAAAAAUUAAUCGCGGCAAACAAAGUCAAAUUAAUGUGAAGAGUUUCUAAUGAAGAAUGGCAUCCUUUAAACUAUUAGUAGUUGAAAUAGUUAUACUAUCACUUCUGCCGCCAUCACUUCAAGGAUAUACAAAAGACGAACUUGAGCAAUUGUCAGCCUUAUCAAAUCAACUGCAUGCUAUGGAAGAGGGAAACGAUAUGAUUCCAUCCGACUCAUCGGAAGAUUCGUCAAUGACAACAGAACCAAGCGACCAGAUCGAAAUUCCCAUAUUCCGUUUCGACCUUUCCAAAGGCAUAAUUGACAUAGGACCAACAGAAUCCGGCCACAAGGUUGAUUUUUUUGAUAAAUGCAUGAGAGAUGUAAUGAGAGGCAAAUUCGGAAAUGGAAAAUAUCACUUUAGUGAAUACAUAUUUUGCAAAGGAUGGUUCGGUAAAAAAUUCUCAGAUGAAGUUGAAUUGGAAACGGUUGCACACGAAUCGAUUGAAAUAAACGCCCUAGAUUCUGACGAACAAAUUAAAAUAGGCGAUCCAGAAAGAGUGGAUAGCAACGAAGAACUUAUGAAAAAAUUCAGAAAUCAUGACUUGAACAUGCAAGUUAGUCGUGAAAAAGAUCAAACCAAUCAAGAAAAGGGUGUUGAUUAUCAAGAACAAGAUUACGAUUUCAAAUGAUGAUUAUGAAGAAAGAGAUGUCGAUUAGUUUCACGCGAAAAAUUAAAAAAUUAUUAAUAAUAAGCAAGGUUUGACAAAACAAAGACAUUGUAACAAACGAUUACAAUUGUAUGAAUUCAAUAAAUGUUUGAAAUUGGCUCGAAGCUAUCGUUCUCAUUU